This 253-nucleotide ribosomal RNA is filed under the name uncultured bacterium. RNAcentral's name for it is "partial 16S ribosomal RNA". It matches the Rfam family "Bacterial small subunit ribosomal RNA", at positions 524 to 776 of the family's 1533-position model. The record is from RNAcentral.
UACGAAGGGGGCUAGCGUUGCUCGGAAUCACUGGGCGUAAAGCGCACGUAGGCGGCUUUUUAAGUCAGGGGUGAAAUCCUGGAGCUCAACUCCAGAACUGCCUUUGAUACUGGGAAGCUUGAGUCCGGAAGAGGUGAGUGGAACUCCGAGUGUAGUGGUGAAAUGCGUAGAUAUCGGGAGGAACACCAGUGGCGAAGGCGGGUCUCUGGGCCGAUACUGACGCUGAGGAGCGAAAGCGUGGGGAGCGAACAGG